AUUGAACGCUGGCGGCAGGCCUAACACAUGCAAGUCGAACGGUAACAGAAAGCAGCUUGCUGCUUUGCUGACGAGUGGCGGACGGGUGAGUAAUGUCUGGGAAACUGCCUGAUGGAGGGGGAUAACUACUGGAAACGGUAGCUAAUACCGCAUAACGUCGCAAGACCAAAGAGGGGGACCUUCGGGCCUCUUGCCAUCGGAUGUGCCCAGAUGGGAUUAGCUAGUAGGUGGGGUAAAGGCUCACCUAGGCGACGAUCCCUAGCUGGUCUGAGAGGAUGACCAGCCACACUGGAACUGAGACACGGUCCAGACUCCUACGGGAGGCAGCAGUGGGGAAUAUUGCACAAUGGGCGCAAGCCUGAUGCAGCCAUGCCGCGUGUAUGAAGAAGGCCUUCGGGUUGUGAAGUACUUUCAGCGGGGAGGAAGGGAGUAAAGUUAAUACCUUUGCUCAUUGACGUUACCCGCAGAAGAAGCACCGGCUAACUCCGU
This 489-nucleotide ribosomal RNA is filed under the name uncultured bacterium. RNAcentral describes it as "partial 16S ribosomal RNA". It matches the Rfam family "Bacterial small subunit ribosomal RNA", at positions 30 to 506 of the family's 1533-position model. The record is from RNAcentral.